GACAGCAGCCGCCACGGUAAUACGUAGGGUGCAAGCGUUACUCGGAAUUACUGGGCGUAAAGCGCACGUAGGCGGUUAUUCAAGUCAGAGGUGAAAGCCCGGGGCUCAACCCCGGAACUGCCUUUGAAACUAGAUGACUAGAAUCUUGGAGAGGUCAGUGGAAUUCCGAGUGUAGAGGUGAAAUUCGUAGAUAUUCGGAAGAACACCAGUGGCGAAGGCGACUGACUGGACAAGUAUUGACGCUGAGGUGCGAAAGCGUGGGGAGCAAACAGGAUUAGAUACCCCCGUAGUCCCUGUCUCUUAUAC
RNAcentral lists this ribosomal RNA (306 nucleotides) under uncultured bacterium. Its description in RNAcentral is "partial 16S ribosomal RNA". It matches the Rfam family "Bacterial small subunit ribosomal RNA", at positions 507 to 807 of the family's 1533-position model. The record is from RNAcentral.